RNAcentral lists this long non-coding RNA (2275 nucleotides) under Arachis ipaensis. RNAcentral's name for it is "long non-coding RNA (AIPA_LNC001289)". Lineage: Eukaryota; Viridiplantae; Streptophyta; Magnoliopsida; Fabales; Fabaceae. The record is from RNAcentral.
CCACUUAAAUGAAAAUAUAAUCACACAAUAAAAAAAAAAUCUUAAAAUGGUGUACAUGAUGAAAGUCAUGACACCACCUUAAAAUCCUGUAAGAAAACAAAAAAAUUCAAUCGAUUCACAAAGCCUAUUAUCUAAUCACACUAUCGCAUAACCUAUUAGUAGAAUUGCGCAAGAAGUUGGAAUUAAAACAGAAGCAUUCCAACCAUGGUUCUAAAAACUGGACUGGCCUGUCGAACCAAACCAAUUAGAACCGGAAGCCUUUGCGGUUCAGUCCAUCAGGAGAAACUACCAUUUCAAAAAGACAAAAACCAUAUAAAAAUCGUUGAACCAGCCAGUUUACAUGAAAUGUCGUUUUAUGCUUCGUUUUGAAAAAAAAGGAAAAGCAAUCUGAUUCCUUCCUUGUUCCAGUGACCCAGCCCCUCUCUCCUUUUCUUUCCUUCACAAUUCAGAACCUUGCACUACCCUCUACCAAAAAAAAACCAUAGCCAUCUAGCCUCCACCACUGCCACCGCAAGGAGUGGGACACUGCAGCCAUCCAUCGCACUCAGGAGCUUCCCUCUUUGUCCUGUCGGCAUGCUCCAAAGCUCCAACCCCUGUUCACUCUCACCGAUCACAGCUUCUUCUUCAAGGUCAGCUCAGCAUUCGUCAUCUUCGUCUUCUUCCUUUUAAUCUCUUUGAUAUGUUCUGCGCAAAGAGAGCCUUAAUUUGACUAAUUUGCUUGUGUAUGAUUAAACCUUGUUACUUUAUGAAAGAAUGAACUACUUAACAUUCUAGAGCCUUAAUUUUCUUGUACCAGAGACAAUUUUUUUAUGUAUACCCAAUAUAAUUUGAAGGUAGCUUGUUAGGUUCUCUAUUUUGUUUGAUUGUGAUGUAUUUAACUUGGUGUGAGUAUUUUGUGAUGCUAUGGAAUAGAACAGAAUGUGUCAGAUUGAGCUAAAAGUAGGGUUAUAUUUGGAAGAUAAUUAUUCAUGUUUGGAUGUUUGUAGCAGCCAAAAAUUAAUUUUGAUUUAUUGAUGCCACAGGUUUUGGAGUUAUCAUGUGCUCUGGCACUUAUGUAAUUUGAUGAUUGCCUAUUACUGCUACUUUGAAUGUUCAUUCAGCGUGUGGCAAUGGUUAGCCUUUAUGUUUGUGAAUUUGAACUUGAUGGAUGAUUAUAUAAUAUACUUCUUGGUAGUAACACUUUUGUUUUAUCUAAAGAAAUGUCACUGUCUUUUGAACAAAAUUGAACUGAUCACUGAUUAUCUAUAUUUCACUCAUUUAGUAUAUAUUAGUUGAAUGAAUCAGUUCAUUUGAGAAUUUGAAGGAGCUGAAAUUUGAUAAUGAUAUAUCACAAAAUAGAAUUCAUUUGAGAAUUUGAGAUAUAACAAUAACAAAAAUUUUAUAGCAGUAUCUUGUCAUGAAUUUUACAGAAAAAUUAUUGUUGUAUAUUGUGUUUUAUAAGAAUUGUUAGGUUUACUAUAUGGAUACUCAUGGUCAGUCAUGGAUAUCGUAGCUAGCUACCCAGAGAUUUAGUAAUUGCUUAUUCAUCAUCAUCAUAUCAUGUUCUAAUUCUCCCUCCUAUAAAUGUGUGUACAAAAAAAAGUGUAAAAACAGCAGCAGCAGAAGCAUUAAAACAUCUAGAAAAUUAAAACAGAUGCAUUAAAAAUCUAGAAGUUGGAAUUCUCCCUGGCCAUAUUCGGCUAUGAGAAAAUUUAAACAGCACUACAACAUCACAGCAUUUCUCAUAUUCAACUAUGAGGAAAUUAAAACAGCAUUCCGGCAUUUUCACAGCAUCAAAGAGCAGCAUUUUCAAUGAAUGAACAGAAAUUAAAACAGAAGCAGAAGCAUUAAAACAUUAUAAACAUUUUCAAUUUUCUAUUCUAAACCUACAUUAAAACAAAAACAAUCAACUAUUAAAAAUUAAUAUAAAGUAACUAAAAAAAAAAAAUCAAAAGCUCACAUCUAUACUGCAGAAGCAGAACCCAAGUCACAGCAGAGAAGGUGGAGGCACGUCAAAGCACACUGCAGGGACAGACGAGUCACGAGGUGGGGCAAUGAAGGCGACAGACGGAGGUGAGCAGAGCAGCACACACGGAGACGAGCAGAUGAGCCGGCUAGAGAAGAGUACAGACCGUCGAGAGUGAGAGGCGAGCACCGGCGAGAGAGAGGCGAGCAUAGACCGGUCAGAGUGAGAGGUUGAGAGCUCUGUGACUGAACGAAAGUGUGAGAGCAUGAGGUUGGGGAAGAGAAGGGGGUGCCGUCCAAAUUAGAAAUUAGGGUUUUACUUUUUCUUAAU